AUAUUGCACAAUGGGCGCAAGCCUGAUGCAGCCAUGCCGCGUGUGUGAAGAAGGCCUUCGGGUUGUAAAGCACUUUCAGCGGGGAGGAAGGCGAUAAGGUUAAUAACCUUGUCGAUUGACGUUACCCGCAGAAGAAGCACCGGCUAACUCCGUGCCAGCAGCCGCGGUAAUACGGAGGGUGCAAGCGUUAAUCGGAAUUACUGGGCGUAAAGCGCACGCAGG
This 222-nucleotide ribosomal RNA is filed under the name Klebsiella pneumoniae. RNAcentral describes it as "partial 16S ribosomal RNA". It matches the Rfam family "Bacterial small subunit ribosomal RNA", at positions 361 to 575 of the family's 1533-position model. Lineage: Bacteria; Pseudomonadati; Pseudomonadota; Gammaproteobacteria; Enterobacterales; Enterobacteriaceae. RNAcentral also lists the same sequence under 1 other name. The record is from RNAcentral.